Molecule: ribosomal RNA, 460 nt
Filed under: uncultured bacterium
Lineage: Bacteria
Description: partial 16S ribosomal RNA
Rfam family: Bacterial small subunit ribosomal RNA
Source: RNAcentral
ACUACGGGUGGCAGCAGUGAGGAAUAUUGGUCAAUGGACGAGAGUCUGAACCAGCCAAGUAGCGUGAAGGAUGACUGCCCUAUGGGUUGUAAACUUCUUUUAUCUGGGAAUAAAACAGGGUAUGCAUACCCUCGUGUAUGUACAAUAUGAAUAAGGAUCGGCUAACUCCGUGCCAGCAGCCGCGGUAAUACGGAGGAUCCGAGCGUUACCCGGAUUUAUUGGGUUUAAAGGGAGCGUAGGUGGAUUGUUAAGUCAGUUGUGAAAGUUUGCGGCUCAACCGUAAAAUUGCAGUUGAAACUGGCAGUCUUGAGUACAGUAGAGGUGGGCGGAAUUCGUGGUGUAGCGGUGAAAUGCUUAGAUAUCACGAAGAACUCCGAUUGCGAAGGCAGCUCACUGGACUGCAACUGACACUGAUGCUCGAAAGUGUGGGUAUCAAACAGGAUUAGAUACCCCAGUAGUC